GCAGCGAUUUCUGAGUGGUUGGAGCAUCAAGCCCACUGGAAACUGCAACCACGUUCCAGUUCUGUCGGACGCAGCAGUUGGGAAUACUGCCCAACGGCCAAGCCUGAUGCAAGCAUGUGCUUGUAGAAGCAUGCUUUCGGAUGUAAUUCACUUCAGCGGGGAGGAAGGGAGUAUAGUAUUCCUUGCUAAUGCCGUUACCGGCAGAAGAAGCACCGACUAAUUCCGGGCAGCAGCCGCGUAUACGGUGGGUGCAAGCGUUAAUAGUAAUUACUGGCGUACAAGCGGCCGCAGGCGGUUUGUUAAGUCAGAUGUGAAAUCCCCGGGCUCAACUUGGGACCUGCAUGUGAUACUGGCAAGCUUGAGUCUCGUAGAGGGGGCGUAGAAUUCCAGGUGUAGCGGUGAAAUGCGUAGAGAUCUGGAGGAAUACCGGUGGCGAAGGCGGCCCCCUGGACGAAGACUGACGCUCAGGUGCGAAAGCGUGGGGAGCAAACAGGAUUAGAUACCCUGGUAGUCACGCGUAAACGAUGUCGACUUGGAGGUUGUGCCCUUGAGGCGUGGCUUCCGGAGCUAACGCGUUAAGUCGACCGCCUGGGGAGUACGGCCGCAAGGUUAAAACUCAAAUGAAUUGACGGGGGCCCGCACAAGCGGUGGAGCAUGUGGUUUAAUUCGAUGCAACGCGAAGAACCUUACCUGGUCUUGACAUCCACGGAAGUUUUCAGAGAUGAGAAUGUGCCUUCGGGAACCGUGAGACAGGUGCUGCAUGGCUGUCGUCAGCUCGUGUUGUGAAAUGUUGGGUUAAGUCCCGCAACGAGCGCAACCCUUAUCCUUUGUUGCCAGCGGUCCGGCCGGGAACUCAAAGGAGACUGCCAGUGAUAAACUGGAGGAAGGUGGGGAUGACGUCAAGUCAUCAUGGCCCUUACGACCAGGGCUACACACGUGCUACAAUGGCGCAUACAAAGAGAAGCGACCUCGCGAGAGCAAGCGGACCUCAUAAAGUGCGUCGUAGUCCGGAUUGGAGUCUGCAACUCGACUCCAUGAAGUCGGAAUCGCUAGUAAUCGUGGAUCAGAAUGCCACGGUGAAUACGUUCCCGGGCCUUGUACACACCCCCCAUCUCACCAUGGGAGUGGCUUGCAAAAGAAGU
Molecule: ribosomal RNA, 1142 nt
Filed under: Escherichia coli
Lineage: Bacteria; Pseudomonadati; Pseudomonadota; Gammaproteobacteria; Enterobacterales; Enterobacteriaceae
Description: bacterial SSU rRNA
Rfam family: Bacterial small subunit ribosomal RNA
Source: RNAcentral